CCUACGGGAGGCAGCAGUGAGGAAUAUUGGUCAAUGGACGCAAGUCUGAACCAGCCAUGCCGCGUGCAGGAAGACGGCUCUAUGAGUUGUAAACUGCUUUUGUACGAGGGUAAACGCAGAUACGCGUAUCUGUCUGAAAGUAUCGUACGAAUAAGGAUCGGCUAACUCCGUGCCAGCAGCCGCGGUAAUACGGAGGAUUCAAGCGUUAUCCGGAUUUAUUGGGUUUAAAGGGUGCGUAGGCGGUCGGAUAAGUUAGAGGUGAAAUCCCGAGGCUCAACUUCGGAAUUGCCUCUGAUACUUUUCGGCUAGAGAGUAGUUGCGGUAGGCGGAAUGUAUGGUGUAGCGGGGAAAUGCUUAGAGAUCAUACAGAACACCGAUUGCGAAGGCAGCUUACUGGACCGUAACUGACGUUGAGGCUCGAAAGCGUGGGGAGCAAACAGGAUUAGAUACCCUUGUAGUC
This 460-nucleotide ribosomal RNA is filed under the name uncultured bacterium. RNAcentral describes it as "partial 16S ribosomal RNA". It matches the Rfam family "Bacterial small subunit ribosomal RNA", at positions 338 to 795 of the family's 1533-position model. The record is from RNAcentral.